UACCCAUGAGUCAUGAUUUACCCUUUCGCCCGAGGUAGCUAAUCUCUUAACCCCCUUCUUUGGGAGGUCGGCAGGGAUCACUAUGAAGCCUUUCAAAGGUUUCGUCUAACAAGUUAGGGCCAUUAGAUUCACUCGGCAGGCAGAUAUAGAGCCCCCUUCCAUGGCACAUAACCCGCAGCCUAUACACACGGACAGAGGCCACACUAUACCCAACGUGUCUAGUCAUUCUUACGCCAUUUAAGGUAACCGCUAACAAGCAAGAAAAAGGUUCUCAUACUAAGCUAAAGCCAGAGCCAUUAUAGCCCUCAUGGUUGCACUGUUGUCCCGGUUAUCACUUACAGAUAAAUCAUCGAGUGGCUAAAAAGUUAUUUUUAUCAUUUAUUACUUAACAUUAAUCUAGUCACAGGAUCAUGGUCACAGAAAUAAAUUCCAAAUGCUAUACUUGCCUUAAUCCAAAUGCUCUUGCUUAUCCUUUUGGUUCUGCUGGUCUCACUUGUCCAAGGCUCUGAUCUUGAUCACCAAAAACUGCUCUCCAUCUAAAUUCGAUCAUCGAUCUUCAUCACACAAACAAUCGGAAACAAACAUACACGAAGCAAACAAGGCUACAAUUAGAACAGUACACCAAUCAUAUAAAAAUAGUAUGAAAAGUUUAUAAAAAGAUUCUACGCAUCACUACGAUCACACGAACGUAAAGAUCACGAAAAUCAGAAUUAAAACGUAGAAGUUAUGAUUUUUCUAAGAUUUCAUAUAGAAAAAUAAUUAAUUAAAUAAUAUCACGAAAAUAAAAAAUUUCAAACUGGUGAAUUAAGUUUAACAUGUAGAGCUCAUUAAUACGAAUCUAACGAAAUUUGAAUGGGUC
This 859-nucleotide long non-coding RNA is filed under the name Sorghum bicolor (sorghum). RNAcentral's name for it is "long non-coding RNA (SBIC_LNC009973)". The record is from RNAcentral. Lineage: Eukaryota; Viridiplantae; Streptophyta; Magnoliopsida; Poales; Poaceae.